Molecule: transfer RNA, 82 nt
Filed under: Perca flavescens (yellow perch)
Lineage: Eukaryota; Metazoa; Chordata; Actinopteri; Perciformes; Percidae
Rfam family: tRNA
About the family: Transfer RNA (tRNA) molecules are approximately 80 nucleotides in length.
Source: Rfam by way of RNAcentral
GCUGUGAUGGCCGAGUGGUUAAGGCGUUGGACUUGAAAUCCAAUGGGGUUUCCGUGCGCAGGUUCAAACCCUACUCAUAGUG